ACAUCCGGGGCUCCGCGGGCGCUGUUGCCCGGGUAAUGGGCUGGCUGCGGCCGGAUCGCCGAGGGGCGUGCGCCCGGCUCCUGAUGCACCUGCGGGAUCCGGGAGCUUGCGGAAGGGCGCGCGGGCCCGGGCUUGAGUGGUCGGAGGUCUCCCGGAGCCCUCAGCAUCCCUUGCUUCUCACUCACGCACCCCAGCUUCACGCGUUAGGCGUCCCCCCAGCAGACGAAGCAAAAGAUACACCAUCAAGUCCUAGAAGGAUUAUACCACUUUCUUUUCCGCCCUGAAGAGACUUGGAAAUUAACGGGUAACAUUUUGCAUGAAAAUUGCUGAACGCUUUUCCUUCUUAUCUCGGCGGCCUUCUGCGGAGAAUUAAUAGGAGGUUGAAUGCGCGCAUGGAUAAAAUGGAUCAUCUUAAAGGAUUGAAGUUCCAAAAAUAUAUCAGCAGGACUGGACAGGUUUGACAUAAUGAGAUUUCUAUUUUAGCUUGACUUCUGGAACACUGAAUAAACUAUAAACUGAGCUGCGCACGUCCUGGGAAGGAAGUUUCUCUUCUACGAUAUUCUAGCUGCGUAUAACUGCGUACAACAUUUUUCUUAUUCAGACCCUUUGAAAAAAGAUAUUUACUUAUCAAUUUCCCGAAAAAUAGGACUAAUAGACACUUACCAACUUUUAAUAUAUGAAGCAGGACAGAAAGCUACAAUUUGUAUCAUUUUGGAAAAGAAAUCUAAAGAAACAGCCACCAGAAAGACAAGCAAUCUCUACGUAAGCACUGGUGGAGAUGGCAGAGGCUUCUGAGGAUGCCUCAGCUCUGCCUAUGACAGUGAAGAAAAAGAAAAGUUUAUCCAUUGAAGAAAAGAUCGACAUCAUAAAUGCAGUAGAAAGUGGCAAGAAAAAGGCAGAAAUUGCAGCUGAAUAUGGAAUAAAGAAAAAUUCCUUGUCUUCUAUUAUGAAGAAUAAAGACAAAGUUCUAGAAGCCUUUGAAUCUCUGAGAUUUGAUCCGAAGAGAAAAAGACUGAGAACUGCUUUUUACACAGAUCUAGAAGAGGCAUUAAUGAGGUGGUAUCGAAUUGCUCAGUGUCUAAAUGUACCAGUUAAUGGUCCAAUGUUGCGUCUCAAAGCUAAUGAUUUUGCCCAGAAACUGGGACAUAAUGACUUUAAGUGCAGCAAUGGUUGGCUGGAUCGCUUUAAAUCCAGGUAUGGCUUAGUAUUCAGAGCUCAACCUGUAGAAGCUACAGCUGUGUCAGUAGACCCUUCUGCCGUCUGGCACCAAAAUGUACUUCCUUAUUAUUUAAAUGAUUAUCACCCUAAAAAUGUUUUUAAUAUAAAAGAGACUGGGCUGCUUUAUCGAAUGUUACCUACAAAUACAUUUGCAUUUAAAGGAGAAACAUGCUCCAUCGGACAGUUAUGCAAAGACAGAAUAACUCUGGUGGUUGGGACAAACAUGGAUGGCUCAGAGAAACUUCCUUUGCUUGUCAUUGGAAAAAACAAAACUCCACAUUGUUUCAAAGGUAUUAAAUCAUUGCCUGUGUGCUAUGAAGCUAACAGAAUGGCGUGGAUGACCUCAGAUGUAUUUGAACGAUGGAUGCGGAAGCUUGAUGAGAAGUUUCAAGCCCAGCAACGAAAAGUGGUGAUUUUUGUUGAUUCUUUUCCUUCACAUCCAGAGGUAAAGAACCUAAAGUCCAUUGAGUUAGCGUUCUUUCCAUCAUGUUUAUCUUCCAAAUUUAUAGCUAUGAAACAAGGUGUUAUUAAAAGCCUUAAAAUCAAAUACCGACAUUGCCUUAUCAAGAAAUUCUUAAGCUCUGUUGAAGGCAGCAAAGAAUUUACAUUUUCCCUACUAGAUGCAGUUGAUACUUUGCACCUUUGUUGGAGGGCUGUAACCUCAGAGACUAUUGUCAAGAGCUAUGAAGAGGCAGGAUUCAAAUCUCAAAAGGAAGAAAGUGACAGGACAAAUGCAGAGACAGACACUAGUCUUGAUUUGGUUGCCCAUGCUCAGGCAGCAGGCGUGGAAUUUCCUGAAGGCUUAUCUAUAGAAGAGUAUGCUGCCCUCGAUGAUGAUUUGGAAACUUGUGAAGCUGCACCAAAAGGUGAUUCAGAAUGGCCCGAAGAAAAUAAAUCUGAGGAAACCGGAUUUUAUACUUCUGAUGAAGAGGAUGAUGGUGGAUCUCUAGGCACUGAACUCCCAUUACCAUCAAAAACGGAGGCAAUAACUGCUUUGGAAACUCUUAAAAAUUUUCUUAGAAGUCAAGAUAUGAGUGAUGAGCUUCAUAACUCUUUAGCAGACCUUGAAAUUUUUAUUAACUCAUCAUCUAAGUAAUUAUUUGUGGUACAACAAAUGAAGAGUAAUAGCUUUUCUUAAUGUAUUUUAUUAUAUAAGAACAGACAGUCAUGGCAUACCUCACUCCUGAUUUAUCAUCUCCAUACACAGUUAAUGCAAAGUUCAGACUAAAUGUCACUUGUCUUUUCGGAAAAGAACUUCACUUAAUUCACCUGCUUUUCAGUUAGUGUAGUACCAAGAUAUGCUAUUCUAUACAACAGACGGUUCAGGAGUCAAGAAGGAAGAGUAAAAAGUAUGUUUUAGCAUAGAAAACAAUUCCGCUUUCCCUGUGGUAGUAAGACCUCUACCUGGGAAGACCUGAGACUGAGAAGUCUGCUCUGGCUUGAACUGCUGACUUCCAAAUCAACCUCUCCUGCCCUGACACAAGAGCCAGGACUACUUGUGUAUUUGGCAGCAGCUGCGGAACCAGGGAGCACUGGACCCUUGACGUUCUUGAGGCAAACGAUCAUUUUGAUCAUUUGCUCACAUGUUGUCACUCGGUCAACAAAUACCUGUGGCUGCUGAGAAGAUGCAGCUCAAUACACCGAGUCUUCCUAUCACUCAGCAAGAAUGCCUGGUGGGACUUGGAAAACCUUUUUGUGAGGAUCACAGCCAGGUAGAGGGGCAGUUCCCUGGGUGGAACUGCUUGUGCAGGAACAAGGUUUACCAAGCAUCUACAAAGACAAUUCUCUCUCUCUCUGUUCCUUUUUAAGAAAGGAAAUGGAGUCCUUGGACCAGUUUUCCAACGCCUUUGGAAGCUCUGAGUAUUUGUUUUUCUUAAACAUAUUCUUUGGAGAAGCCUGGAGAGGAAAGAAAAGUGGUCCAAGUGCACACAGAUGGUAAACCCACAGCUCCCAUCAACAGCAGCAAGAAAUCAUCUGGACUCAAGCAGGCCACCUCUGAGAUAGGAAAUGAAGCCUCGUGAGAAUGAAGAAUAUAAGCUGAGUCAGAAUGAUAGGCUGCUCCCAGGAGACCCACAAAACGGCACUAAGUCCUGUCUUUCCCCAAGAGGAACAUUUACAAAAUGGCAGCAAAGUAGAUAUUGAGCUGGACAAUCAAUCAAGUCACGGGAUAUGUUGUUCUGAUUUUCUGCACUUUUCCUCACUGGACCAUAAAGUCAUGAAUGGACAUUGUUUAGAAAGAACUGCAGGAGAAUAUAAGUGAAAAUUCACCCACUCUUGAGAUAGAGAAAUUCUUUCUAAAUAUGUCAUUAAAAUAGAACAUAAGGAAAAAGAUCAGUGAUUUGACACAGUAAAAACUAAAAAAUGUCUGUGUAUAUUUUUAAAAACCCUCUAAAUAACAUUAAAAAGCAAAUGGCCACCUUGAAUAAUGUUUCCAACAUACCUUGCAGAUAUGAGAUUUAAAAUCUUAAUAUAUAGAUAAAAUAAAAAGAAGACUCUAAUAGGAAAUAGUAUGUAA
Molecule: RNA transcript, 3733 nt
Organism: Canis lupus familiaris (dog)
Lineage: Eukaryota; Metazoa; Chordata; Mammalia; Carnivora; Canidae
Gene: TIGD4
Gene name: tigger transposable element derived 4
Exons: 7
Source: RefSeq, a predicted model, not a curated record